This 206-nucleotide ribosomal RNA is filed under the name uncultured bacterium. Its description in RNAcentral is "partial 16S ribosomal RNA". It matches the Rfam family "Bacterial small subunit ribosomal RNA", at positions 568 to 774 of the family's 1533-position model. The record is from RNAcentral.
UGCGUAGGCGGGUUUUUAAGUCAGAGGUGAAAUCCUGGAGCUCAACUCCAGAACUGCCUUUGAUACUGAGAAUCUUGAGUACGGGAGAGGUGAGUGGAACUGCGAGUGUAGAGGUGAAAUUCGUAGAUAUUCGCAAGAACACCAGUGGCGAAGGCGGCUCACUGGCCCGUAACUGACGCUGAGGCACGAAAGCGUGGGAGCAAACA